UGUUUAUCUAAAACACAGGGCUCUGCGAAGUCUGUAAGACGACGUAUAGGGCCUGACGCCUGCCCGGUGCCGGAAGGUUAAGAGGAGAGGUGAGAGCUUUGAAUUGAAGUCCCAGUAAACGGCGGCCGUAACAAUAACGGUCCUAAGGUAGCGAAAUUCCUUGUCGGGUAAGUUCCGACCUGCACGAAUGGCGUAACGAUGGCCACACUGUCUCCUCCUGAGACUCAGCGAAGUUGAAAUGUUUGUGAUGAUGCAAUCUCCCCGCGGAAAGACGGAAAGACCCCAUGAACCUUUACUGUAGCUUUGCAUUGGACUUUGAACCGAUCUGUGUAGGAUAGGUGGGAGGCUUUGAAACCGGGACGCUAGUUUCGGUGGAGCCGACCUUGAAAUACCACCCUGGUUUGUUUGAGGUUCUAACCUUGGCCCGUGAAUCCGGGGACGGAAAGACCCCAUGAACCUUUACUGUAGCUUUGUAUUGGACUUUGAACAGAUCUGUGUAGGAUAGGUGGGAGGCUUUGAAGUGAGGACGCUAGUUCUCAUGGAGCCAACGUUGAAAUACCACCCUGGUGUGUUUGAGGUUCUAACCUAGGUCCAUUAUCUGGAUCGGGGACAGUGCAUGGUAGGCAGUUUGACUGGGGCGGUCUCCUCCCAAAGCGUAACGGAGGAGUUCGAAGGUACGCUAGUUACGGUCGGACAUCGUGAUAAUAGUGCAAUGGCAUAAGCGUGCUUAACUGCGAGACUGACAAGUCGAGCAGAUACGAAAGUAGGACAUAGUGAUCCGGUGGUUCUGUAUGGAAGGGCCAUCGCUCAACGGAUAAAAGGUACUCUGGGGAUAACAGGCUGAUACCGCCCAAGAGUUCAUAUCGACGGCGGUGUUUGGCACCUCGAUGUCGGCUCAUCUCAUCCUGGGGCUGUAGCCGGUCCCAAGGGUAUGGCUGUUCGCCAUUUAAAGUGGUACGCGAGCUGGGUUUAGAACGUCGUGAGACAGUUCGGUCCCUAUCUGCCGUGGGUGUAAGGAGACUUGAGAGGAUUUGUCCCUAGUACGAGAGGACCGGGAUGAACGUACCUCUGGUGGAGCUGUUGUCGCGCCAGCGGCAGUGCAGCAUAGCUAUGUACGGACGGGAUAACCGCUGAAGGCAUCUAAGCGGGAAACCCCCCUCGAAACGAGGUCUCCCUUGAGGGCCGUGGAAGACGACCACGUCGAUAGGCCGGGAGUGCAA
This 1220-nucleotide ribosomal RNA is filed under the name Daphnia magna. RNAcentral's name for it is "bacterial LSU rRNA". It matches the Rfam family "Bacterial large subunit ribosomal RNA", at positions 1801 to 2872 of the family's 2925-position model. The record is from RNAcentral. Lineage: Eukaryota; Metazoa; Arthropoda; Branchiopoda; Diplostraca; Daphniidae.